Molecule: ribosomal RNA, 464 nt
Filed under: uncultured bacterium
Lineage: Bacteria
Description: partial 16S ribosomal RNA
Rfam family: Bacterial small subunit ribosomal RNA
Source: RNAcentral
CCUACGGGGGGCAGCAGUAGGGAAUUUUCGUCAAUGGGCGCAAGCCUGAACGAGCAAUGCCGCGUGAACGAGGAAGGUCCUCGGAUCGUAAAGUUCUGUUGAAGGGGAAAAAGAGCGGAGAGAGGAAAUGAACUCCGAUUGAUAUUACCCUUCGAGGAAGUCACGGCUAACUACGUGCCAGCAGCCGCGGUAAUACGUAGGUGGCGAGCGUUAGCCGGAUUGAUUGGGCGUAAAGGGUGCGUAGGCGGCCUGCUAAGUCUGGAGUGAAAGGUACCGGCUCAACCGGGACAGGCUCUGGAAACUGGCGGGCUAGAGAGCAGGAGAGGGCGGUGGAACUCCAUGUGUAGCGGUAAAAUGCGUAGAUAUAUGGAAGAACACCAGUGGCGAAGGCGGCCGCCUGGCCUGUUACUGACGCUGAGGCACGAAAGCGUGGGGAGCAAAUAGGAUUAGAUACCCCAGUAGUC